GACGGAAGUGUUAGUCCUGUAAUGUGGAUAAACGAUGAAUACUCUUUGAGAAGGCUAAGUGCGGACUCUAAGCCUCAUGAACCUUUUUUAGGGAAUCUCGACAACCUUUGGCUAAAUGAGUUUAGUGGCUCAUGCUUUUUGGGAAAAAAGAAAUAAGUUUAAUCAAAUGGAAUUUUAUUGAAUAAUAAAAGGAACAAAAGCUAAGAGCUUUAGGGAGACAAAGUUUUUAUAAAAAAAAUGGGUUCAUAUUUAUGCCACUCCAUCCCCUAUUUAUAGUACAUAGAAAAUCUAGUUUGUUCCUAUUUAAACUCUAAAAGAUAAAUAAAGAUAAAAGCUGAAAUUAAAUCUAAAUAAUUAUCCCAACAAUAAUCCUAAUAAAAUUCAAAUUUAAAUAAAGUCUUAUGUUUAUAAAUCUCUUCUUUGAAUUUUUGCCCCCAAUUCUUUCACACUUUGUAUUUUUGGCAUCAUUUCUUUCCUAUUUAGUAUGUUGGCCCAUUUUAUCUUUAAAUUCACACUUUUUUGCCCCAAAUUUCCUUUUUCCUUUAAUUUAGUCCCUACAAGAUAAAAAACCAUAAAAAGCACAAAUUAGUAGGAUCAUACUCAAAGUAAAUAUGUAAUUAAUACAUAAAAACAUGUCAUUUCAGAGUAUUAUCAUGUAUCUUAUUUUGAAAUCAAAAAUCAAAAAUUUUAUAAAACUUGCUUUAUUCCUUUGGUAAGAAUAUUUGUCAAAAGAAAGGCGUGUGUGAAGAUUUUGAAAUGUUGUCUUAUACAACUCAAUUUAUUUAAAAACAUCAUGCUAUCGACUUUAUUUACUUGUUUUUGAAAAAACGUGAAUUUCGGUUAAAACUUUGUAGUGGAGAGUUUCUUAGGCUUGUUUAACCAUGAAAAUCAGAGGUUAGUUUUUUAAUUGUUAGAAAACAUGUCAAAUUUUAGAACAAGUAAUUAAAAUACUUAACAAAUCCCAAAAACCAAAAUUAAAGCUCGAAAAAUAGUCCAAUUGUCCAAAAGUUCAUAAAACAUAAACUAAGAGUUAUUGAAUAAGUUUUAUAUAGAAAAACUGAACCAAGCUCCUAAACGCCAUCAAAUCCUAAGUCAAAGGGUUACCUGAAAAAUUAAACAAACAAAGUGAGCUAAAAAGCUCAGUGUGUGCCUUGACCCAUAAGUAAAAUCACAUAACAGAAUCAUGGUUAGAUGCAUAUAUCAAAUCAAACAGACCAGAAAUUUCAAAAUGCUUAGUGUAAGUACCCAAAUUUACCCUGGCCCAACACCAUUAACCAGCCCAAACAAUUAAAAAAUAUAUAUAUAAAAACAAAAAAAACCAAAUAAUUAAAUGUCCACUGUCCCUUAUUACAUCAGCCCAAAUCUGCCAAAAUAAACAAGCCCGAAACAAAACUAACCCUAAGGCCCAAACAGCCCAAAAACUAAAACAAAUUCAGUCAAAACCCUAGCCCCUAUUUGCCUCGCGCCGCUCCCCCACGUACGGCCUCCAUUGCACCUCCGUACGCCAGCGCACUGCCUCCAUACACGCGCCACGCACACCACAUACCUGCAAAAAGGGACAAACACAAAACAAAAAAGGAAAAAGAAAAAAAGAUUGUAUUUUUUUGGUUUUCAUUAUUCGACUAUAAAGCCUUUUUUAUUUUUGGUUGUAAGGGCUCCCUCUUUUACACACACACAUACUGAAUAGAAAAAAAUGAUUCAAAAAUUUUAAAGGUGAUUUCUGACUCGAGUUUUCUGGGUUUUUUUAAGUUAGCUUUUAGAUUAUUUCUUUUUGGGUCUUUUAUUUUCGCAUUUGAAAACAAAAGGAAAAGGGAAAGAGAAAUCUUACCUUACGAAAACUCCAUGGGUUUCCUUUCACUUUGUUGAAAUCAAGGCUGAGAGGGAAUCCUAAGGCUAAAAUGAUCGCUAGAGCUCGAAUACAUUGGUCGCCUACUGUGGUGGUGGAUCGGUGUUUGAGUAAAAGAGGAUUAGUGUUCGGCCGAAUAGGGAAUAAGGUGUUUAUGUUUUUUUUUUUACUUUUGUUCCUAAAUGGCUAAGUGUAUUAGUUAGGGUUUGUUUUGGUGUUAAUAAUGUAU
RNAcentral lists this long non-coding RNA (2075 nucleotides) under Gossypium barbadense (sea-island cotton). RNAcentral's name for it is "long non-coding RNA (GBAR_LNC006173)". The record is from RNAcentral. Lineage: Eukaryota; Viridiplantae; Streptophyta; Magnoliopsida; Malvales; Malvaceae.